UACGGAGGGUGCAAGCGUUAUCCGGAUUCACUGGGUUUAAGGGUGCGUAGGCGGACAGGUAAGUCAGUGGUGAAAUCUCUGGGCUUAACCCAGAAACUGCCGUUGAUACUAUUUGUCUUGAAUAUCCUGGAGGUAGGCGGAAUAUGUCAUGUAGCGGUGAAAUGCUUAGAUAUGACAUAGAACACCAAUUGCGAAGGCAGCUGGCUACACAUAUAUUGACACUGAGGCACGAAAGCGUGGGGAUCAAACAGG
RNAcentral lists this ribosomal RNA (252 nucleotides) under uncultured bacterium. RNAcentral's name for it is "partial 16S ribosomal RNA". It matches the Rfam family "Bacterial small subunit ribosomal RNA", at positions 524 to 776 of the family's 1533-position model. The record is from RNAcentral.